GACCCAACGAGAGUUCGCCAAGUCGCACCGUGCCAGUCCGUGCGUGUACUUUGCCUAAUAAUAUUUCCUCACGGCGAGGAGAGCGCACGGCGAGUAACGCGCACGGGGUUCCAAAAGAACAAGAGAGAAAGAACGAAGGAGAUAGAUAGAGAGAUAGAGAGAGAGAGAGAGAGAGAGAGAGAAAGAGAAAGAGAGAGAGAGAGAGAGAAAGAUAGAGAAAGAUAGAAAGAGAGAGAGAGAGAGAGAGAGAGAGAGAGAGAAAGAAAGAGAGUUAGAGAUAGAAAUAGAUAGAUAGAGGUCAGAGUGUGCGUUCACUUUUCUCUCUCGUAUAUUCUCUCUGGGAAACUUAACAACUUUACGUCCUUCCAUAUUACCAACGUUUUACUUCACUUAUUUAAACGCGAAAAUAAGGUGACCCGAUCAGAAGGACACGUGCGUUCCUAUCGUGCGGAUCCUCCGUCGCGCUACGAUCCUUUCCGGAAAUUUUCGAACGUACGAACGAGAGAAAGAGAGAGAGAGAGAGAGAGAAAGAGAAAGAGAAAGAGAAAGAAAGAGGGUUUCUGUUUUGGAUUAUAUCUACUCGCCCGUGAGGGGUAACGAACGUGGAGUUUAGAAAAAAGGGGCGGAGAAGGAGAUCGAGCGUGUAAACGAUCAGCUUAUAUCGUUAUUGAUAUCUAUCUUUCGUGAGAAGUUAAAUAUAUAGAAGAAGAGAGAGGAGAGAGAAAGAGAAAGAAAGAGAAAAAACGAGAAAGAGAGAGAGAAAGAGAGAAACAUUGAUUCGAUAGAUAACAUCGAGGAUUGUGCGCGUAAAUUUUUGUUUUUUUUUUUUCGUUUGACAUUAUUAUCGACAUUCUCGUGAACUCGACAUUUAAUCAAAGACCCUACGACGACAACGACGACGACGAUUAGUAAUUGAUAAUAAUCAGUGUAAUCGCGUGUGUAUACUGUAUGGAAGAAGAUACUGUGACAAGACGAUUGGCAAAGGAUAGAUCAUCGUAGAUCAUCGUGUUAGAAGAAUAAUAUAACUUCGGAGAUAACGAGGAAGAAGGGAAGAAAAAAUAUCCAGGGAUAGCUAAUUACAUACAAGGAGUCGUUUUAACUCGACUGCCGGAAGAGAAACAUCCAGAGAGGAGUGUAAGAAGAAGAAGAAGAAGAAGAAGACACCGUCGGCCGUCGGCAGAAAGAAAAAAGAAAAAGAGAACGAGAGACGAUCGAACGAGAGAGGCCGAACGAGUGAAGAGAAAGAAAGAGAAAGAGAGAGAGAGAGAGAGAGUGAUAUCUUGUGACCGGUAGCGUGCCAAAGGCCCGAAGAUUCUGCCUUCGCAGCAGCUCGGCGCUGCGGUCGCUCCAUGGCCGGGCGCCACCGGCCUCCUCGCCUCCGUCACCGCUGACGAUAUGGCACAUAAAGGUCACAGCGGAGUGAACCAAUUGGGUGGCGUCUUCGUCGGUGGUAGACCGCUUCCGGAUUCGACGAGACAAAAGAUCGUCGAAUUAGCUCAUUCGGGGGCACGUCCUUGCGACAUCUCAAGAAUCCUGCAGGUCAGCAAUGGCUGCGUUUCGAAGAUCCUUGGCAGCAGGUACUAUGAGACCGGAUCCAUAAGGCCAAGGGCCAUUGGCGGCAGUAAGCCGCGAGUGGCCACGGCGGAAGUCGUCAGCAAGAUCUCACUUUAUAAAAGCGAGUGCCCGUCGAUCUUUGCUUGGGAGAUCAGAGAUCGUUUACUUCAGGAGGGCGUGUGCACGAACGACAACAUUCCAAGCGUUUCGUCCAUCAACAGGGUAUUGAGGAACUUGGCGGCACAGAAGGAACAAAGACAACAACAGCAGCAACAGCAACAGGGUGUAGGGGCAGUUGGAGUUGGCAUCGGCGUAGGUGUUGGCGCUGGUAGUCCUGCCGAGAGCGUUUACGACAAGCUCAGGCUACUGAAUGGACAGACCACUGGCUGGUCAAGACCCAAUCCCUGGUAUCCGUCGGGUGCGGGAAGCCCUUUCUCGAGUCUUCAGCCUAGUCUGAGUCCGAGCCAUUGCACGGCGCUACCGCCUGAUCCCGCUGAUAUUCUCCACGCCAAAAAGGUGGCUGAACUCGAAGGAGGCGCUCACUCGGACGAGACCAACAGCGGUGGUGACAACAGUAACGCUGGCAGUGUAUCUGGUGGUGCAGACGAUGAUCAAGCACGUUUACGACUUAAGAGAAAGCUUCAGAGGAAUCGUACGAGCUUCAGCAACGAGCAAAUCGAUGCACUCGAGAAGGAAUUCGAGAGGACGCAUUAUCCGGAUGUAUUUGCAAGAGAACGACUGGCUGGGAAGAUUGGCCUACCGGAAGCUCGAAUACAGGUAUGGUUUUCGAAUCGGCGGGCAAAGUGGAGACGAGAGGAGAAGUUGCGUACGCAACGGAGGGACAACCCGCAGCAGCAGCAACAACAGCAACAACAGCAGCAACAGCAACAGCAACAACAGCAACAACAGCAGCAGCAACAACAGCCACAGCCUCAGCAACAACAGCAACAAUCUCAUACGGGAGGUGUUAGUCUUGUGGGUGCUGGUCAUCCUACGCCACCUCCUCCGACUGGUAUUCUUGGUGGACAGGCACCACCGCAGGCACCACCGUCGCCACCGAGAAUACAUCAUGGAUUUGCACCGACCGCUGUUUAUCCAGGAAUACCUAGCAUGCCGGACUCUUACAGUCCAAUGACAUCAAUGCCAAGCUUCACGAUGUCAGGUGGCAGCCAACAGAAUCAACAUACGACGAGCAGCAUGUCUUCGCUGUCAGGCUCCCUUUCGGGUUCGUUAUCAGGCUCGCUAUCGGGAGGUGGCAUGGGCCCAAUGGGUAUGACGGUUGGCAUGACCGUUGGCCCUAGUCCAGGCGCGUGCCUUCAACAACGUGACAAUGGUUACUCUUGUGGCGUGGCACGACCACCAAGCUACGAACCGCUUCAUUUGGGAUACGGUGCGAGGCCAACCUGCAGUCCGACCCAGCCUUACCACACCGCGGGCCUUAAUCAGUACAAUCAGAACGCCAGCUCGACCGGUGAGUGUCUACCGCACUCACUGCACUCGCUGCUUGCGCUUUAGCCGAUGGACUACUACUAUGGCUACCACGGAUAACACGCUAUCGAGCCUGCCGGUCUGAUAUCACCGGGAGUAAGCGUACCGAUCGCAGUACCGGGCCAACCAGCACCUGACAUGGCGGCACAAUAUUGGUCACCGAGGCUACAGUGACCGUGGUGGUCCUCGACGUCGACCUCGUCCUCCUAGGCACGAGUUUCUUCGUCCUCGAUCAGAACCAGAAUAUGAUCGUCGUCGGUUUUAGGACCACCAAGAGAUUCAUAGAAAGGGAAGGAAGGAAAGAAAAGAAAAGAAAUGAAAAACAGAUGAACAAAGGACUUUCAAUCAUGUUUCUUAUCAAAAACGAUGAGGAGGGACAAGUGUGCGAAGAACUCGAGUUUUCCAAACGUUUCUUCUUUUUUUUUCUUGUACCCUUUUUUUGUUUUGUUUUUCUUUUCUUUUUUUUUUUUUUUUUUUUUUUUUUUUUUUUCUUUUAGAUUCGACGACGACAAUGAUAAUACGACGAUGAAACAGAGAAGAGAUAGAUAGUCGAAAACGAUAUCCUCGAGAUCGUUGUGUCGUCGUAAAAAAGGAAAAAAAAAAUUAGGAAAAUGCAAGCACCACCGAUUAUUAAUAAUAAAAUUUCGAUUCAAGGAGAAAUCCAAGAAAAGUUUUCUUCGAUAUUUAAUCGUAAUCGGUAGGAAGAGAAUUCGACGUUUUCGAAUAAACUUUAAACUAGCAUACUAUGGUAGUGCAUUUAGCAUAUUAAACGAGAUUGCAUUUUCGGUAUGCUUUAUGUUGUAAUUAAAAAUCACGACUUAACUCUACUUUCACGUAGAAUUAUAUUACUAUGUGAAUUAUAAAGUGUAGUAUUUUUUUAAGUACUAUGUUAAAUAUAGAUCAUAGUAUUUGAGAAAUACUAUGUGAAAUAUGAGCUAUAGUAUUUUUUUUAAAUACAACGUUAAAUAUAAACCAUAGUGUUUAUAAAAUACUAUGU
Vespula pensylvanica (western yellowjacket) is the source of this 4039-nucleotide RNA transcript. It is a transcript of the gene named paired box protein Pax-6-like, with no coding region annotated. The record is from RefSeq and is a predicted model, not a curated record. Lineage: Eukaryota; Metazoa; Arthropoda; Insecta; Hymenoptera; Vespidae. The transcript has 10 exons.